GGAGAAUAGAUAAUAUUUGGAUCUCGAAGGAGCUGACACAGAACUUAGCUAAAUCUGAAAUACUCCCACAAACUAUAUCUGACCAUAAUCCGGUAUUUAUGGAGAUAAAGGGUAAAGAUACUAGAGUAUUUAGAUGGAGAAUGAAUGAAGGUAUAUUUAAUAAUCAAAAGAUAGUAAGGGAGGCGAAAGAAACAAUCGAAGAAUACUUCAAGUGGAACUUACACAAAGAAACAGCUAUAGAAACGGUCUGGGAUGCAGGAAAAGCCGUUAUGAGGGGCUUCCUAAUUCAGAAAAACAGCCAUUUAAGAAAAGAAAAAGAGAAAAAAGAGAAGAGAUUCUAACACAGCUUAUGGAGAAUGAAAGACAACUAGCUACUAAACCAGGUGACGAGACAAUAAAGCAAAAUUUAAAAAUAUUACAAGCCCAAUUUUCUAUGAUAGUUAACCAGGAAAUUGAGUGGAAAAUUAAAAUGAUGAAACAAAAGAACUUUGAAUCAGCUAAUAAAAUAGGAAAAUUCUUGGCGUGGCAAAUAAGAGAAAGGAAAAAACAAAAUACGAUCUGCAAGAUAAGGGAUGGAGAAAGGAUAGUGGAAGAGCCAAAAGAAAUAAAAAGGAUAUUUCAGACGUAUUAUAAGGAAUUGUAUAAAAGAGGAAAGGAAAUAGAUUAUGAAAUAGACCGAUACCUGGAAGAUCACCAUUUACAACAGAUUGCCAUAGAAGAGAAAGAGUUAUUAGACCAGAGGAUUACAGAAGAUGAGAUAAGGAAGGC
This is a non-coding RNA of Podarcis lilfordi (Lilford's wall lizard), 768 nucleotides long. The record is from the annotation of a GenBank genome assembly. NCBI's taxonomy places the organism in Eukaryota, Metazoa, Chordata, Lepidosauria, Squamata, Lacertidae.